This 45-nucleotide non-coding RNA is filed under the name Trichobilharzia regenti. The record is from RNAcentral. Lineage: Eukaryota; Metazoa; Platyhelminthes; Trematoda; Strigeidida; Schistosomatidae.
AUCCAUAUGACGCGUCCAAAAUAGGACGAAACUCGCAUCCUGGAU